GACGUAGGGUGCGAGCGUUGUCCGGAUUUAUUGGGCGUAAAGAGCUCGUAGGCGGCUCGUCGCGUUAGCUGUGAAAACCCGCGGCUUAACCGCGGGCUUGCAGCUGAUACGGGCGGGCUAGAGUUCGGUAGGGGAGACUGGAAUUCCUGGUGUAGCGGUGAAAUGCGCAGAUAUCAGGAGGAACACCGGUGGCGAAGGCGGUUCUCUGGGCCUUACCUGACGCUGAGGAGCGAAAGCAUGGGGAGCAAACAGG
RNAcentral lists this ribosomal RNA (253 nucleotides) under uncultured bacterium. RNAcentral describes it as "partial 16S ribosomal RNA". It matches the Rfam family "Bacterial small subunit ribosomal RNA", at positions 524 to 776 of the family's 1533-position model. The record is from RNAcentral.